GACGAACGCUGGCGGCGUGCCUAAUACAUGCCAGUCGAGCGGACUUUCAAGAAGCUUGCUUUUUGAAAGUUAGCGGCGGACGGGUAAGUAACACGUGGGCAACCUGCCUGCAAGACGGGGAUAACUCCGGGAAACCGGGGCUAAUACCGGAUAAUAUCUUCCUUCGCAUGAAGGAAGGUUGAAAGGCGGCGCAAGCUGCCGCUUGCAGAUGGGCCCGCGGCGCAUUAGCUAGUUGGUGAGGUAACGGCUCACCAAGGCGACGAUGCGUAGCCGACCUGAGAGGGUGAUCGGCCACACUGGGACUGAGACACGGCCCAGACUCCUACGGGAGGCAGCAGUAGGGAAUCUUCCGCAAUGGACGAAAGUCUGACGGAGCAACGCCGCGUGAGCGAAGAAGGUCUUCGGAUCGUAAAGCUCUGUUGUCAGGGAAGAACAAGUACCGUUCGAACAGGGCGGUACCUUGACGGUACCUGACCAGAAAGCCACGGCUAACUACGU
RNAcentral lists this ribosomal RNA (498 nucleotides) under uncultured bacterium. RNAcentral's name for it is "partial 16S ribosomal RNA". It matches the Rfam family "Bacterial small subunit ribosomal RNA", at positions 28 to 506 of the family's 1533-position model. The record is from RNAcentral.